RNAcentral lists this microRNA (22 nucleotides) under Gadus morhua (Atlantic cod). RNAcentral describes it as "gmo-miR-11263-3p". The record is from miRBase by way of RNAcentral. Lineage: Eukaryota; Metazoa; Chordata; Actinopteri; Gadiformes; Gadidae.
ACCUAAAGAGUAAAUAGCAUGU